UAUGACGGGCGGUGUGUGCACCGGAUCACCGGUAAUCAUUCACGGAGAGUUUGAUCCUGGCUCAGGACGAACGCUGGCGGCGUGCUUAACACAUGCAAGUCGAACGAUGAACCACUUCGGUGGGGAUUAGUGGCGAACGGGUGAGUAACACGUGGGCAAUCUGCCCUGCACUCUGGGACAAGCCCUGGAAACGGGGUCUAAUACCGGAUACUGACCCGCCUGGGCAUCCAGGCGGUUCGAAAGCUCCGGCGGUGCAGGAUGAGCCCGCGGCCUAUCAGCUUGUUGGUGAGGUAACGGCUCACCAAGGCGACGACGGGUAGCCGGCCUGAGAGGGCGACCGGCCACACUGGGACUGAGACACGGCCCAGACUCCUACGGGAGGCAGCAGUGGGGAAUAUUGCACAAUGGGCGCAAGCCUGAUGCAGCGACGCCGCGUGAGGGAUGACGGCCUUCGGGUUGUAAACCUCUUUCAGCAGGGAAGAAGCGCAAGUGACGGUACCUGCAGAAGAAGCGCCGGCUAACUACGUGCCAGCAGCCGCGGUAAUACGUAGGGCGCGAGCGUUGUCCGGAAUUAUUGGGCGUAAAGAGCUCGUAGGCGGCUUGUCGCGUCGGUUGUGAAAGCCCGGGGCUUAACCCCGGGUCUGCAUUCGAUACGGGCAGGCUAGAGUUCGGUAGGGGAGAUCGGAAUUCCUGGUGUAGCGGUGAAAUGCGCAGAUAUCAGGAGGAACACCGGUGGCGAAAGGCGGAUCUCUGUGGCCGAUACUGACGCUGAUGAGCGAUAAGCGUGGGGAGCGAACAGGAUUAGAUACCCUGGUAGU
RNAcentral lists this ribosomal RNA (818 nucleotides) under Streptomyces atrovirens. RNAcentral describes it as "bacterial SSU rRNA". It matches the Rfam family "Bacterial small subunit ribosomal RNA", at positions 1 to 794 of the family's 1533-position model. The record is from RNAcentral. Lineage: Bacteria; Bacillati; Actinomycetota; Actinomycetes; Kitasatosporales; Streptomycetaceae.